Molecule: ribosomal RNA, 644 nt
Filed under: uncultured actinomycete
Lineage: Bacteria; Bacillati; Actinomycetota; Actinomycetes; Actinomycetales
Description: bacterial SSU rRNA
Rfam family: Bacterial small subunit ribosomal RNA
Source: RNAcentral
AUUCGCGGCCUAUCAGCUUGUUGGUGAGGUAAUGGCUCACCAAGGCAUCGACGGGUAGCUGGUUUGAGAGAACGAUCAGCCACACUGGGACUGAGACACGGCCCAGACUCCUACGGGAGGCAGCAGUGGGGAAUCUUGCACAAUGGGCGAAAGCCUGAUGCAGCGACGCCGCGUGGGGGAUGAAGGCCCUAGGGUCGUAAACCCCUUUCAGUAGGGACGAAAAUGACGGUACCUACAGAAGAAGCCCCGGCCAACUACGUGCCAGCAGCCGCGGUAAGACGUAGGGGGCGAGCGUUGUCCGGAUUUAUUGGGCGUAAAGGGCUCGUAGGUGGUUGCGUAAGUCGGAUGUGAAAACUCCAGGCUCAACUUGGAGACGCCAUCCGAUACUGCGCUGACUUGAGUCCGGUAGAGGAGUGUGGAAUUUCUAGUGUAGCGGUGAAAUGCGCAGAUAUUAGAAGGAACACCUAUUGCGAAGGCAGCACUCUGGGCCGGCACUGACACUGAGGAGCGAAAGCGUGGGUAGCAAACAGGAUUAGAUACCCUGGUAGUCCACGCCGUAAACGGUGGGCACUGGGUGUGGGGACUUUCAACGGUUUCCGUGCCGAAGCUAACGCAUUAAGUGCCCCGCCUGGGGAGUACGGAAU